This 316-nucleotide unclassified non-coding RNA is filed under the name Hevea brasiliensis (rubber tree). Lineage: Eukaryota; Viridiplantae; Streptophyta; Magnoliopsida; Malpighiales; Euphorbiaceae. The record is from RNAcentral.
CGAGACCGGGCUGGCUGUCGCCGACAUCGAUGACCCAACGGCCAGACCGAUCGACGUCCCCGGGACCCCGGCAUCUGCUGCGGACCGGGGCGACGUAAAGGGUGCGCUCGCGGGGGCAGCGGUGCAGAUGGAGGCCGUCUACACCACGCCGCGCGAAUAUUCCUGUCCGAUGGAGCCGCUUGGAGCAAUAGCAGCCUGGGGCAAUGACGGUGAUCUGACCGUUUGGAUGCCAAGCCAAUGGNNNNNNNNNAGGGCAUUUUCCGACUGGUUUGCAAUUCCGAUGGAGAAGGUCCGCGUUAUUUCGCCGUUCGUGGGC